GUGGGGAAUAUUGCACAAUGGGCGAAAGCCUGAUGCAGCAACGCCGCGUGAGUGAUGAAGGUCUUCGGAUUGUAAAGCUCUGUCUUUUGGGACGAUAAUGACGGUACCAAAGGAGGAAGCCACGGCUAACUACGUGCCAGCAGCCGCGGUAAUACGUAGGUGGCGAGCGUUGUCCGGAUUUACUGGGCGUAAAGGGUGCGUAGGCGGAUGUUUAAGUGAGAUGUGAAAUACCCGGGCUUAACUUGGGUGCUGCAUUUCAAACUGGAUAUCUAGAGUGCAGGAGAGGAGAAUGGAAUUCCUAGUGUAGCGGUGAAAUGCGUAGAGAUUAGGAAGAACACCAGUGGCGAAGGCGAUUCUCUGGACUGUAACUGACGCUGAGGCACGAAAGCGUGGGUAGCAAACAGGAUUAGAUACCCUGGUAGUCCACGCCGUAAACGAUGAGUACUAGGUGUAGGAGGUAUCGACCCCUUCUGUGCCGCAGUAAACACAUUAAGUACUCCGCCUGGGAAGUACGAUCGCAAGAUU
This 525-nucleotide ribosomal RNA is filed under the name uncultured bacterium. Its description in RNAcentral is "partial 16S ribosomal RNA". It matches the Rfam family "Bacterial small subunit ribosomal RNA", at positions 354 to 895 of the family's 1533-position model. The record is from RNAcentral.